Molecule: long non-coding RNA, 3600 nt
Filed under: Sus scrofa (pig)
Lineage: Eukaryota; Metazoa; Chordata; Mammalia; Artiodactyla; Suidae
Description: lncRNA (ENSSSCG00000059796.1)
Source: RNAcentral
UGAACCCGCAUCCUCAUGGGUACUAGUUGGGUUCUUAACCCUCUGAGCCACAAUGGGAACUCCCCGUAUAGGCUUUUAGGGAAGGAUUUUUAAAGGUAGUGUGAGGGGAGGGUUACUGGCUGCAUGAUUGUGCUCAUGCACAUUUCUCUGAAUGGUUGUUGGUGAGGUAACAGGGUGAUGUUUUAGGAAUCUCAGUCAUCAGCCUUCUGAUUCCAACCAGUCUGGGGUCUACAUGCUGGUAGUGAACAUGCAGUUAACUUUUUCCAGCUGAUGGAGGUUUUAUUACCCACAAAACCACUCAAAGAUAUGGCUCAGGGUAUUGUGUAUAGCCCUUGAGGAGGAACUAAUGGUCCUUGACUUUGUUUUAUGGAUAAAUUAUUAUUAUUUUGUCUUGCUUGACUGCUUUCCUUUGUUCUUUCAUUUUCUCACUUCUAUGAUAAAAUUUGCCCUUUAAAACUCAAGGAAAACCUAGAAGGCUAAAGCUUUUCUACAAACCAGAGGCAGAGGACCCAGGAAGGUGUGGCCCCAGAAAGGUCCUGCUUGGUUUCAGCAGUGCUCUUUCAAAAUACAUUCUAAUUUAUCUCAUGUGUGGCAACCUAAAUAAAGAAGUACACUGAGGCAAGCUUGAGUCACCAGACGUUGAACUUAUUCAGGGAUAGCAGAGGAAUUGCAUUUUGGGAAAAGCAAACUCUAGCAACUACAGGUGAGUCCAUUGAAAACUUGGGGCGGGCUGUAUUCAUGGACAGGAGGGGGUAAUCUAGCCAGAAUCCGAAUCAGGAAAUUCAUUGGCUUGAGGAUGGGGAAAGAUUCUUGACAAGUGUUCAGUUCUGUAGCCACUAGCCACAUGUAGCUCUGAGCAACAUGGAAGGUGGGUGGUAAUGUGGAAGAACUUUAUUUUAUUUUUAUUCAUUUAUUUAUUUUGGGGCUGCAUCCAAGGCAUGUGGAGGUUCCCAGGCUUGAAUUGGAGCUACAGCUUCCAGCUUACACUAGAGCCACAGCAACUCAGGAUCUGAGCCUCAUCUGCAACCCACACCACAGCUCGUGGCAACGCUAGAUCCCUGACCCACUGAGUGAGGCCAGGGAUUGAACCCGCAUCCUCAGGGAUACUAGUCAGAUUUGUUUACGCUCCGCCACAACAGGAACUCUCUGGAAGGAGUUAAUUUUAAAUUUUGAUUGAUUCAUUAUUUAUAAUGAAUUAUAUUUAUAAUAUACUAUACACACGUAUCACCACACAUAGUAUAUAAGGUAUAAUUUAUUGUAACAUAGCAAAAUUAUAUAAAUAUCAUCAUAUUUAUAAGAGCCACAUGUGGUCAGUGGCUCCUGUAUUGGACAGCACAGCUUGAAAUGUAUGGGAAACAUAGUGGGCGUUUUGGUUAUCACCAUGACAGGGGGCCACUGUGGCAUUUGGUCCAUGCCUUCUGCAGUGUCUGGACUGGGAUGGCUUGUUCCUCCAGGGAGCUCAGGCAGAGCAGUCUGAUCUGAGAGCACCGUGUUUUCUCAGCUUGGCUCUGCAAACUUUCGCUGGCUGCCCCAGUACAGGGGCUGCUUGAGUUGGGGCUCUCCCCAAGGCUGUCUCCUUAAGUUCCUUGGGGAAGCUGGCCACCUCACACAGGAGUCUCUCAUGCACAGUGAGGGCCCCUUCACAGGCUCUCUCUCUGUUGAACAGGGCUUUGUGUGUCUAGCUUGCUCAACCUGAGAUGUCCUUGUGCCAUUUCCUCGGGCACCAACAUCCUCUUUGGGUAUCUUGGAGGCAGUGAGGUGGAUACUGCCUACUCCCAAAGAUGGCUGAGGGAAAGCACAAGCUAAGGUGAGGGGUCUUUCUGUGGCCACACGGUGGUAAUAGUUGACCUUGUAUGCUGAACUUUUUUUUUUCUUUUUUUUUUUUUGUCUUUGUAAGGCCACACCUGCAGCAUAUGGAAGUUCCCAGGCUUGGGGUCCAAUUGGACCUGCAGCUGCCAGACUACACCACAGUCAGAGCAACACCAGUUGAGUCGCAUCUGUGACCUACGCCACAGUUCACGGCAACCCCAGAUCCUUAACCCACUGAGCAAGGCCAGGGAUGGAACAUGCACCCUCACGGAUACUAGUCGGGUUCAUUACCUCUGAGCCACCACAUGAACUCCUGAACUUAUUGUUAAAAGAUUCAUCAGGACCUCUUAUUUUCCUCUCACAGCUUGGUCUAACUGAAGCUCAGAAGAGGGCUGAGAGGGAUGGUGGGUCAGGGUGCUGGAUUAACCCUCCCCACUCCCCUUCACCCCCCAUUGAUCCCAACAACUGGACCUUGUUGUUAUGGUCAUUUCUCACUCAGAUCCCCUGGAGGUGAUCUCUAGGUCACCUGGAAGGGGCCCACAGUUCUCCCCCUGUCCCAGGCCCAGUGAGCGCAGAGGAAACAGGGUGACCUGUGUGGGGCCCAAGAACGCAGGAUGCUGGGGGACCAGGAACACAACCUCCCACUGACUGGACAUGGGAGAGAACACAUGACAGUGUGGCUGUUGGGGUGGCUUGGCUGGGACAGCCUCAGGUCACAGCGUUGGAGGAGGUGUGGCCCACCCAGGAGCAAAGCUGCAGAAGGGCUAUGGCUUCUGUGACUGAAGCGAGGGGAGGGGAGGGCCGCUCCGCAGGUGCUCAGGAGCACUUGCCUUCCCACUGCAGGAGUCCCAGCAAGGGAGCUCACACAAAAGGUAUGUUUGUGUAUGUUCUAGAAUUUUCUAAGGUGGGAGAUUUGGUGUAUGGAUGUGCAAUUUUAGAGCAUUUAAUUCAAUUUGUCUCUGACUAGGUCUCUUCUAGUUUACCACCCAUAACCUCUGUGGUCUCAUUAUUGUCUGAUUAAUCAUUACUAUGCAAUCCUGAUGUUUUCCUUGAACUUAGGUGGAAACAAGAAGUAAGCACACAUUGUUUUCCUUUUUCUUUUUUUGGCAGCACCCACCGCUUACAAAUCAAACCUGUGCCUCAGCCGUGACAACACCGGAUCCUGAUCCUGCUGAGCCACCAAAGAACUCCACACAUUUUAUUUUGCAAUAUUAUUGAAAAAAAUUUUUCAAAACAUAUACAUUUACAUUUUAACCUAAAACUUUUAUUAUUUUAGAAUUUAACAUUUUAAAGUGAACAAAAUGGGGAGUUCCCAUCAUGGCGCAGCAGAAACAAAUCUGACUAGGAAACAGGUUGCAGGUUGGAUCCCUGGCCUCGCUCAGUGGGUUAAGGAUCUGAUGUUGCCAUGAGCUGUGGUGUAGGUCGAAGAUGUGGCUCAGUGCGGCUCAGAUACUGUGUUGUUAUGGCUGGUGUAGGCCGGCAGCUGUAGCUCUGAUUCAAUCCCUAGCCUUGGAACAUACAUAUGCCACGGGUGCAGCCCUAAAAAUAAAAGCAAAAAAAUAAAGUGAGCAAAAUGUAUUUAUACCAACUUUUAAAUAAUUUAAAGUGGAUUUUUGACUUAAAAAUACAAGGCAGGGGAGUUCCUGUGGUGAUGCAACAGUGUCAUUGAUGUCUUGGGAGCUCUGGGACAAAGGUUUGCUCCCCAGCCCCGGCACAGUGGGUUAAAUAAAGAUCCAGUGUUCUUGCAGCUGCGGUUUAGGUCGCAGCUAUAGCUUGGAUCUGAUCCCUGGC